UUUAAUAUUUAUGGAAGGAGUCUCCAGUGUCAGCGCUUUGUAACAGUCAGAGGUAAAGCUGUAACUUUAAGUU
Molecule: non-coding RNA, 73 nt
Organism: Pangasianodon gigas (Mekong giant catfish)
Lineage: Eukaryota; Metazoa; Chordata; Actinopteri; Siluriformes; Pangasiidae
Source: the annotation of a GenBank genome assembly